RNAcentral lists this ribosomal RNA (371 nucleotides) under Mysmenidae sp. RNAcentral's name for it is "partial large subunit ribosomal RNA". Lineage: Eukaryota; Metazoa; Arthropoda; Arachnida; Araneae; Mysmenidae. The record is from RNAcentral.
AAAUAGCCGCAGAAUUUUAACUGUGUUAAGGUAGCAUAAUCAUUAGGUUUUUAAUUAGGAUCUAGAAUGAAAGGUUAAACCUUUAAUGACUUUAAAUUUAAUUACUAAAUUUAAAUUAUAACAGAAAUAAAAAUAUUUCUAUAAAUAAAUAGACGACAAGACCCUAUUGAACUUAACUUUAGUUAAGCUGGGGCAGCUAAUUAAAAAUCAUUUUAAUUAUAAUUUUUAUAUAAAUAUCUAAUAUUAUUAAAUAAACAAGUUACCAUAGGGAUAACAGCGUAAUUUUUUAUAAAAGUUCUUAUUAAAUAUAAAGAUUGCGACCUCGAUGUUGAAUUAUUUACCUAAAUGAAGCAAAAUCUAAAAAGGGGGCC